RNAcentral lists this transfer RNA (35 nucleotides) under Elymus sibiricus. RNAcentral's name for it is "partial tRNA-Phe". Lineage: Eukaryota; Viridiplantae; Streptophyta; Magnoliopsida; Poales; Poaceae. The record is from RNAcentral.
GUCAGGAUAGCUCAGUGGUAGAGCAGAGGACUGAA